AUUGAACGCUGGCGGCAGGCCUAACACAUGCAAGUCGAACGGUAGCACAGAGGAGCCUGCUCCUUGGGUGACGAGUGGCGGACGGGUGAGUAAUGUCUGGGAAACUGCCCGAUGGAGGGGGAUAACUACUGGAAACGGUAGCUAAUACCGCAUAACGUCGCAAGACCAAAGAGGGGGACCUUCGGGCCUCUUGCCAUCGGAUGUGCCCAGAUGGGAUUAGCUAGUAGGUGGGGUAACGGCUCACCUAGGCGACGAUCCCUAGCUGGUCUGAGAGGAUGACCAGCCACACUGGAACUGAGACACGGUCCAGACUCCUACGGGAGGCAGCAGUGGGGAGUAUUGCACAUGGGCGCAAGCCUGAUGCAGCCAUGCCGCGUGUAUGAAGAAGGCCUUCGGGUUGUAAAGUACUUUCAGCGGGGAGGAAGGGGUUAAGGUUAAUAACCUUAGCCAUUGACGUUACCCGCAGAAGAAGCACCGGCUAACUCCGUGCCAGCCGCCGCCGUAA
Molecule: ribosomal RNA, 505 nt
Filed under: uncultured bacterium
Lineage: Bacteria
Description: partial 16S ribosomal RNA
Rfam family: Bacterial small subunit ribosomal RNA
Source: RNAcentral